This 307-nucleotide unclassified non-coding RNA is filed under the name Hevea brasiliensis (rubber tree). Lineage: Eukaryota; Viridiplantae; Streptophyta; Magnoliopsida; Malpighiales; Euphorbiaceae. The record is from RNAcentral.
GAAGAUCAGAGCCUAGUUGCUGCAGGAUCAUCAAUGGCUCAGAUUGGAGAAGCAUCUAACGCAAGCAGCAAGAAGACCAACUGAUUUAAUGUUUUGUAACUAAAGAUUUUGCAGUAACUAUUACAGUAGCCACCAGUCUAGACCAUUUCUCUUGAAAAAUAGAUUACCUCGGAGGUUCCUGAGCUGCAUUGCUUGCUGCUUCUUCACAGUUUUUGUUUGAUAGUUUAUCAUACAUACAGAGUACAGUGAAGCAAUAAGGAUAGGCCUUAAAGGUAGUUAGAUAAUGAAGAGAAUUUGGUAUGUUGGA